CUUGAGCGAGCCGAGCCACAACGGCCGGUCCUGGGGCCGGUCCUUGCCGUACGUGGCGAGCAGCGCCUGCGCCUC
This 75-nucleotide antisense RNA is filed under the name Streptomyces sp. CB02488. Its description in RNAcentral is "ASpks TB sRNA". It matches the Rfam family "ASpks TB sRNA". The record is from Rfam by way of RNAcentral. Lineage: Bacteria; Bacillati; Actinomycetota; Actinomycetes; Kitasatosporales; Streptomycetaceae.